UACGUAGGUGGCAAGCGUUAUCCGGAUUUAUUGGGCGUAAAGGGAACGUAGGCGGUCUUUUAAGUCUGAUGUGAAAGCCUUCGGCUUAACCGGAGUAGUGCAUUGGAAACUGGGAGACUUGAGUGCAGAAGAGGAGAGUGGAACUCCAUGUGUAGCGGUGAAAUGCGUAGAUAUAUGGAAGAACACCAGUGGCGAAAGCGGCUCUCUGGUCUGUAACUGACGCUGAGGUUCGAAAGCGUGGGUAGCAAACAGG
This 253-nucleotide ribosomal RNA is filed under the name uncultured bacterium. RNAcentral describes it as "partial 16S ribosomal RNA". It matches the Rfam family "Bacterial small subunit ribosomal RNA", at positions 524 to 776 of the family's 1533-position model. The record is from RNAcentral.